GAUGAACGCUAGCGGGAGGCCUAACACAUGCAAGCCGAGCGGUAUUGUUUCUUCGGACAUGAGAGAGCGGCGUACGGGUGCGUAACACGUGUGCAACCUGCCUUUAUCUGGGGGAUAGCCUUUCGAAAGGAAGAUUAAUACUCCAUAAUAUAUUGAACGGCAUCGUUUAAUAUUUAAAGCUCCGGCGGAUAGAGAUGGGCACGCGCAAGAUUAGCUAGUUGGUGAGGUAACGGCUCACCAAGGCGAUGAUCUUUAGGGGGCCUGAGAGGGUGAUCCCCCACAAUGGUACUGAGACACGGACCAGACUCCUACGGGAGGCAGCAGUGAGGAAUAUUGGUCAAUGGGUGCAAGCCUGAACCAGCCAUCCCGCGUGAAGGACGACUGCCCUAUGGGUUGUAAACUUCUUUUGUAUAGGGAUAAACCUACCCUCGAGAGGGUAGCUGAAGGUACUAUACGAAUAAGCACCGGCUAACUCCGUG
RNAcentral lists this ribosomal RNA (479 nucleotides) under uncultured bacterium. RNAcentral's name for it is "partial 16S ribosomal RNA". It matches the Rfam family "Bacterial small subunit ribosomal RNA", at positions 28 to 507 of the family's 1533-position model. The record is from RNAcentral.